Podarcis lilfordi (Lilford's wall lizard) is the source of this 79-nucleotide non-coding RNA. NCBI's taxonomy places the organism in Eukaryota, Metazoa, Chordata, Lepidosauria, Squamata, Lacertidae. The record is from the annotation of a GenBank genome assembly.
GUCCUGAGGGAAGGCUGAUCUGGUAGAGCAUGAGACACUUAAUCUGAGGGUCGUGGGUUCGAGACCCACACUUUGGACG